GGGGAUGUAGCUCAGUGGUAGAGCACUUGCCUAGCAUGCAUAAGGCCUAGAUUUCAAUCCCCA
Molecule: transfer RNA, 63 nt
Filed under: Ictidomys tridecemlineatus (thirteen-lined ground squirrel)
Lineage: Eukaryota; Metazoa; Chordata; Mammalia; Rodentia; Sciuridae
Description: Spermophilus tridecemlineatus (thirteen-lined ground squirrel) tRNA
Rfam family: tRNA
About the family: Transfer RNA (tRNA) molecules are approximately 80 nucleotides in length. Their secondary structure includes four short double-helical elements and three loops (D, anti-codon, and T loops).
Source: Rfam by way of RNAcentral